Molecule: ribosomal RNA, 454 nt
Filed under: uncultured Marinilabiliaceae bacterium
Lineage: Bacteria; Pseudomonadati; Bacteroidota; Bacteroidia; Marinilabiliales; Marinilabiliaceae
Description: partial 16S ribosomal RNA
Rfam family: Bacterial small subunit ribosomal RNA
Source: RNAcentral
ACGGGAGGCAGCAGUGAGGAGUAUUGGUCAAUGGGCGAGAGCCUGAACCAGCCGAGUCGCGUGCGGGAGGAAGGCCCUACGGGUCGUAAACCGCUUUUGUACGGGAAUAAAAAAUCCCACGUGUGGGGUCUUGUAGGUACCGUAAGAAUAAGGAUCGGCUAACUCCGUGCCAGCAGCCGCGGUAAUACGGAGGAUCCGAGCGUUAUCCGGAUUUAUUGGGUUUAAAGGGUGCGCAGGCGGCACGUUAAGUCAGCGGUGAAAUGUCGGGGCUCAACCCGGGCACUGCCGUUGAAACUGGCGAGCUUGAGUACGGAUGAAGUCGGCGGAAUGUGAUGUGUAGCGGUGAAAUGCUUAGAUAUGUCACAGAACACCGAUUGCGAAGGCAGCUGACUAAUCCGCAACUGACGCUCAGGCACGAAAGCGUGGGGAUCGAACAGGAUUAGAUACCCUGGUA